Molecule: long non-coding RNA, 453 nt
Organism: Engraulis encrasicolus (European anchovy)
Lineage: Eukaryota; Metazoa; Chordata; Actinopteri; Clupeiformes; Engraulidae
Exons: 3
Source: RefSeq, a predicted model, not a curated record
UUGCUGAGUCAAAUGAGCCACCCCUGAAGAAAUAAUAGCUUAAUAACGCAGAGAAACUCGAUUCUCAUGCAAAAAUAAGGAAUCACAGCUGCACUGAACCGCGGAAGAAGACUGUAGGCAAUGGAAUUACGAGUGAAGGACCUCAACAUCAUCAACCGUCAAAUGGAUUUAGGAAACUCGUACUCUCGAGGAGGAAACUUCAUGGCAAUUGAGCCACAGCCGCAGGCAGUCUUUCGCCGGGUGCAAAUGCAUGCUUCUACCAACGGAUGAUGGGGUCUGACGAUGGAGUUGACGGGAACAUUCGCACAGAAGAGGAAUUUGUGAGGAUUCUGAACCACUCAUUGAGGCCGUGGAGUGUGUUGUUUAAUGAGUAAUACAGCUAACUGCAGUGUUCCACAAGACUGUUACCAGACCUUCAUGGGACCUUUCCGUUCUUUCUGGGUUGUCUUGAGG